This 1852-nucleotide long non-coding RNA is filed under the name Homo sapiens (human). RNAcentral's name for it is "HSALNT0286526". Lineage: Eukaryota; Metazoa; Chordata; Mammalia; Primates; Hominidae. The record is from RNAcentral.
AAGGCGGGGCUUUGCAAAGAGAGUAGCCUCUGGUCCUUUUGUUACUCAGGAGUGGAUAGUUAGGGUUUUCCUUUCUAACUAAAUUGUUCUAGGAAGUCAGUGUGAAACGGCCUUAGGUUCUCUGCCUCCAGACCCUAAUCUCCUGCCUCAGUCUCAGGCUACAGGCUGGAGGCAGAAGUGGGAGGAUUGCUUGAGCUCAGGAGGUUGAGGCUGCAGUGAACCGACAUCAUGUCACCGCACUCUAGCCUGGAUAAUGUUUUUCAACAAAUAUUAACCGCCUGGGAGGAAAUACAGAAGUGAACAAUCAAAUGAAAUAAAAAUAAAACUGAUGUUAAUAACAAUAAAGCCUCAAAUAGCAACGAACCCAGAGAGACAUCAACCUGGGCUUCCCAAUCAUCCAGGAGUUGUCCCAGAAAGGAUAAUCCAACAGAUGCAGCAGGCUAGAGUCCAAUGGACCCAUCUCAGCUCACUGCAGCCUUGACCUCCCCAACUCAAGCGAUCUGUCCACCUGCGUCUCCCAAAGUGUUGGGAUUACAGGAGUGAGCCACUGCACCUCGCCACGGAAAAUUUCAAUAAACAGCAUUGGAAUAACUGAUCAACAAUCUGAUGCCCUCAAAAUUAAUUACAGGGUCUAUCAAUCAUCGCCGGGGAUAACUUCCUUCAGAGUCACAUUACCUGAUUAGAAUUCCACUUCCUGUUCUUCAGAAGUCUCGCCUUGGAUAGAUUUGACCUAAGGUGAGGACACAGCAUUUGUUCCGUCUGCAACAUGAGGAUGCAGGAAGAAGGCAUUCACCAGACACCAAAUGCUGGCACCUUCAUCUCGGACUUCCCAGCCACCAGAACUGUUUUUAUCCAGAACUCUACCUUUGGGCAUAGACAUGGUUCUCAGGAGCUGAAAGAAAACAACCAGGAAUGCAUCAGCUCUUCAUAUUUCUCAGGGUCUGGAUCCAUCACCCAGGUGGGGGUGCAGUGGCAUGAUCAUGGCUCACUGCAGCCUCAACCUCGCAGGCUCAAGCAAUCCUCCCACCUCAGCUUCCUAAGUAGCUGGGACUACAGGUGUGUGACACCAUCCCCAGCUAAUUUUUUUUUUUUUUUUUACUUUUUGUAGAGGCAAGGUCUCACUAUGUUGCCCAGGCUAAAACACAAACAUUUUUGAAUGACAAACAUAUUUUCCCAGACAUAAGAUAAUUCAUAGGAAGAGUGGCACUAUUUAACAGUUUUAUAAAUCUCUUUGAUGUCCAGCUUAAUAUAAGACAGCUGGAUUAUCAAAUCUGCUUCUCCACUCAAUCUGCUGUGAUAUAUGGUUUUGGUUGAAACAUUUGCAGUUAAUCCAACCUCCCACAGAUAUGUCAUGGGAAAAGAGAGAAGUAUUUUAGCAGACUUUUCAGAUAAUUGUGGAGAUUUUUCUUUGAUACUACAUUAAAAACUCAACAAGUAGUUAGUUGCAGUGUGGAAUAUGAAACUAUAUAAAUAAAUAUAUCAUAUCCUGUUACAUUUACAUCCAUUGGUAUGUUUUGAACUUUGAACACGCAUUUUACUCAUUUUGUAUCAUCAUCCAUGGGUCAUCUGGAAAAUACUGGCUCACUGAGCAAUGCAGGUCUUCCCAAUGUCAACACCUUUCAUUAUGUGAUAUAAAAAAUCACAUUUGUUAAUAUUAUCUCCAAUCUCAUCUGAAAAGUCUUUAAGUUUUGGGAAGCUCUCAAGCUCACAGUGGCAGAUAAAAGUUUAAAACAAUUUUUGGUUUUCUAUUGAAAGCCUGAAUUUUAUUAUUGGCAAUAAAUACUGCCAGUUGUUUUCCCUGAACUGACAGGCUCUCUUUGUUCCUUUCCAAGAAAAUGUCUAGCAAGUAUUU